This 48-nucleotide non-coding RNA is filed under the name Helianthus anomalus. RNAcentral also lists the same sequence under 2 other names. Lineage: Eukaryota; Viridiplantae; Streptophyta; Magnoliopsida; Asterales; Asteraceae. The record is from RNAcentral.
AAGCAUCGGCUAACUCUGUGCCAGCAGCCGCGGUAAUACAGAGGAUGC